This is a long non-coding RNA of Bactrocera oleae (olive fruit fly), 4178 nucleotides long. RefSeq lists it as uncharacterized. NCBI's taxonomy places the organism in Eukaryota, Metazoa, Arthropoda, Insecta, Diptera, Tephritidae. The record is from RefSeq and is a predicted model, not a curated record.
AUAUAUUCUUAUUGUUUUUUCUUUCACCAAAAUAAUAAUAAUAUAAAUCAAAAUCAAAUAUACAUACAUAUUAGUAUAUACGCCUAUGCAAAAUUGCAUUGCCAUAUUGAUAAAAAAAUUAGCGCGCAAACUUGUUUUGGAUUUGGGUCAGUGACAGUCUCAAGGCAACAGAAUUAUUCCCGUUGGUUUUCAAUUUAAAAUCAGCAUUUAUUUUUGUCAUUUGAUAUACAAGUCUGUUCGAGCCACUGUCUAUGUACAUAUGUAUGUCUGCAUAUAUAUAUGUAUGUACAUGUAUAAAUAUUUUUGCACCGCUUUGAAAAUUCAAGUCUGCUUGUUUGUAAGACUCUCUGGUUUUUUAUGACUGAGAGUCGUAGAUGGAGACUCGUCUGUAGAAACAUACACAUAAACAGUAGAUGUAUAUGUAUUUGUCUGUGUGUCAGUAUUUAUGCAUUUUAUAUGGGGGAUCUCCGUGCGCUUGCUUUGCUAGUGUAAUAAAAGGAGGCGGAGGGCGUGUGGCGCGUUAUGGGGUGGUACGUAUGUUUGUAUGUCUGUAUGUAUUUGUUAGUGCCAACGCGAAUUUCAGCUAAGUCAAGCAGUUCAUGAAGAAUCAACCUACAAUUUAAGGCUGUACGCCUGUUACCAGUCAGUACAUCUCGUUACUCAGUGUUGUCGUUGUCAUCACCGUGUGGUCUCUAAGUGAUAUCUUCCAUCACGGAAGCGGUAACGGUGCUUACUGUAAGUGAAUGAAUGUGUAAAUGUGGGUUUCUUUACUUGUUACAUUCGUUUGAUACAAUAUUAAAUGAGCAUGGAAAUGCAAUUACAUACAUACAUAUAUACAUAUGUACAUACUCACUUCUUUUGCAGACUAAUAAUUGCAAUGUUUAGUGCCGUUGUUAUAGUUGCCAUUGUUGUGACCUCUUACUUGUUUUCUUCAUCCAUAACAAACUUUCACCAUAGUGAUAACGAAAUUGUAUAUACAAGUACCUAUGUGCCUAGGUACAUAUAUACAUAGUAUAUAUAUACAUAUUUUAGUUGAAACUUCAUCCCGAAAUUUCUUUAUGAGCAUUGGAACAGAAAGGCAUCAUGUUUUAGAACACAAUCAAUUAGAAAAAAUAUAUUGAUAACUCGUCUCCAGCCGUUUUUGCUUGCCUGAAGUCCUCGGUUGCGUUCCCUUUCUGCUGCAAGUGAGAUUGGGUGGCAUUGCGCACUCUUCCAAGAUUGACAAAACUAAGAAAUUCUAUAUGAGAAGUAGAGAAAAUGACAUCCGAAUCAGUUCCUGGUAAGAAAUUUUUAGGAAAUAAAAAUAUAUUCUUCCCAAUAAUAAAUUAGAUGUCAAAGUACAUAAAAGACUGUUUAAAAUGAAAACGAAGGAGAGAGAGCUAGAGAGCUCACAAACCAAUGUGAUCGAUCGCGGCGAAUCUAGCGAUCUAGAAAAAGUAUAACAGUUUUUUAUGGAGCUAAAGACGGACACAGUAGCAUAGAUGGGAAUCGGAGAUGCAUGAAUUAGGGAGAAAAAGCAUAUUUCCUUGAAAUUACCUCUGGAAUGUUUUCUGCCGCAACAACAACAGCAUUAAUUUUAGCCAAAGAUUAUCGGAUCUUUACUAAUAAAAAAUAAAGCAUUCAGUAACAAUCCCUUGAAUUAAGAAAACUUAAAUAAAUAAAUUCUAAAAUGGCAGAAUCGGUGAAACACUUACUCUAUGCCUGUCCAGGCCUUAGAGUAGUAAGUCACCGAACAUCAUAUGAUUUUUGGGAUUCUUUAGAAUUUAUUAUGUGGCUUUUGUGAACCGUAAACUAUUUCAAAUUUUACCUCACCCUUUAAAAACCGAUGGAUUUCUUUAAGCAGCCAAAAAUUUGCAUCGAACUUUCUGAAUAAAAUUCGAAAAUAUCGGAGUGAAAAAAGAAGUUAAAUUUUUUUCUUUCAGUUUGGGUAUCAAACCCAUAAGCUACUCUGCAAAGGUCACCCACUAAGCAGAAGUAUUUGUCAUUUAAAUAAAUUAUAUAAUUUUAAAACUUUUAACUGAAUAAUUUGGUACUUUGAAUCCCGUACACAUCUAUUGAAAACCUGCAUACAUAUGUACAUACCAUAUGUGGACAUGUACAUACAAUACUUGUAAUAGUUCAUGAAUAUAUCCGGUCAUAUAGACUUCUACAUAUGAGCAUGAAUAUACGUAGGUACAAUUUUUGUUUUCAAUUGCACUUAGACUUUCCGUUGUAUAUUACAGUAUUUUCUGAGUUUCCAUUACCAUUGUAUAAGAUUAAGCAACAACAGAGCGAAUGACCAACCAAGUAAACUACACAUAUGUUUAUAUGACACAAGCAUACGAACAAAUAAGUAUAAAAAUCAUUAUGUAUGAGCUUUUGUGGUAUUUUUAUUUUUUUUAUUUAUUUUUCGUAAUGGGAUCAACGGAGGCGACAGCGAUAAAAGAACCUUGCAAUAUCAAUGAAACAGUGGCGCACAUAAAAACCACCAGCCUGCAACGGCGCAACGUAUGCGAUACAAAAGUAUAUACCCCGGCACAUACCUAAGUAUACAUAUAUAUUUUUUGAUGAACGAGACACAGCGUUGACAAUGGGAAAUGUGCACGAUUGCAGAUAACAGAGCAAAGAUUAUGGGCGCGGGAUAAGAGCGAAUGUGCUUGUGAGCAAAAACAUGCAACAAACAACAAACAUAUAUACAUAUAUAUGUGGACACAUGAGACGCCAGAGCCCUAAUGUAGCCUUGCAACCACGUUGCACAAUGCGAGCGUCACGUGCAGAAACCGCCUAUGCCUACAUGAUUAUAUGUUGCUGGAACGAAAUUGUGUGGUUUGUGGUCGUCUCGGCGUUGCAAGCAACAUGCCUGCAUGCCGUAGCAAUUAUGUAUGUGUAAUCACAUACACAAGUCUACGUAUAUCAACACACAAACAAUCGACGACACCACUGGCUGGCAUAAGUGGCAUACGGUGGUAGGCUUCGGUUGCAAUUUGACUGGCGAUGCAUGUGUGUCUGUGUAUGUAUGCAUGCACAGGCGUUUGUAUGUUUGUUAACUGCUGUUACGUGUUUACUGUUAUGCGACAAUUUUCCUGUGCUGAAAACGUAUGAGGCGACGUCGGACGGAUGGGCAAUUGCUUGUCGAGUUUAAAAACUUGCCAGCGGUUUAUGAAAAAUCAGCCUUCGUCAUUUGCUGCUCGCCUGUUCACAUUCAGUACACUCGUUAUUCUGUGAUACAGACAACAACGGCUAAGCGAUAUCACUCACCACCAUUGGUGUUCACCAUAGCAACAAAGCAGAGAAACCAAAACAAUCAGUGUAGUCAACAAAUGAAUGGAGAUUGCAUUUACACAAACAUACAUACAUAUGUUUCUGCGGCUUCCAUUUUGCUUUUUGUGGUAAAUCUAAGCAAAUAGAGAAUUACUUGUAAUUUCCAGUGAAGUCAGUGUACUGUUUGCUUCUGAUAGCCGGUUUCCACUCAGUACAUCUCACUGUUUAGUAACUACCUCGAAAAGCAGCAAAACCGACUGUAAUGACGGAACCGCUGUAAUUCAGCGAAAUCAUUAAAAAAAGCUAGGUAAUGCUUUGAAAGCAAAAAACAAUAUAUGUAUUUCAAAAAUCAAAUCACAUAGAAUAACGAAGAAGACAGCUCUUGAAGUGCGCGCUAGAAAGCUACGUGCAAACGUUUGUAGAAAAAAAAGAUAUUUAAGAUAUUAUGUUUGUUUAUUCAAUAUUUGCAAAUUUUAAUUUUCUUAAAAUACUCAUAUAACUUACGUUAAAUUAAAUUAGGUUAAAAAGCCGAUAAUGUUACAAGCAACAACAAGAAUCUCACAUAGACCAAAUAUACCUUACCUGACUCAAAUAAAAUAUGUUACUUUUAAAGAACGUAACUACUUACUUGUUUUAAUACUUCGCCGACAAUCAUGUCAGCGAAAUAACGCAACACUUCAGUCGCAAAAAUAAUCUUCCAGUAAAAGUUGAGUUAAAUUUUAUACAUUCUUCCCCUACUUUUCAGCAGAUCGUGAUACUUUUGCAUACAUAUGUAUAUAUUUUCUUUACUGCGUGCUGGACGUGGUCUAUUCGGUCGAAUAUUAUCCAAUAAUGAAUGCAGGGUCUCCAGAUGGGUGAUGGUGUUGCGAAUAGUGCGAUCAAAAAAUAACAUGAUAGCUUGACAUGGCUCAUGCAUGAUCUGUCAAAAAAAAAAAAAA